This 116-nucleotide ribosomal RNA is filed under the name Metabacillus indicus LMG 22858. The record is from RNAcentral. Lineage: Bacteria; Bacillati; Bacillota; Bacilli; Caryophanales; Bacillaceae.
UCUGGUGAUGAUGGCAAAGAGGUCACACCCGUUCCCAUACCGAACACGGAAGUUAAGCUCUUUAGCGCCGAUGGUAGUUGGGGGUUUCCCCCUGUGAGAGUAGGACGUUGCCAGGC